RNAcentral lists this ribosomal RNA (456 nucleotides) under Escherichia coli. Its description in RNAcentral is "bacterial LSU rRNA". It matches the Rfam family "Bacterial large subunit ribosomal RNA", at positions 1040 to 1499 of the family's 2925-position model. Lineage: Bacteria; Pseudomonadati; Pseudomonadota; Gammaproteobacteria; Enterobacterales; Enterobacteriaceae. The record is from RNAcentral.
UAAGGUCCCAAAGUCAUGGUUAAGUGGGAAACGAUGUGGGAAGGCCCAGACAGCCAGGAUGUUGGCUUAGAAGCAGCCAUCAUUUAAAGAAAGCGUAAUAGCUCACUGGUCGAGUCGGCCUGCGCGGAAGAUGUAACGGGGCUAAACCAUGCACCGAAGCUGCGGCAGCGACGCUGAUGCGUUGUUGGGUAGGGGAGCGUUCUGUAAGCCUGCGAAGGUGUGCUGUGAGGCAUGCUGGAGGUAUCAGAAGUGCGAAUGCUGACAUAAGUAACAAUAAAGGGGGUGAAAAGCCCGCUCGCCGGAAGACCAAGGGUUCCUGUCCAACGUUAAUCGGGGCAGGGUGAGUCGACCCCUAAGGCGAGGCCGAAAGGCGUAGUCGAUGGGAAACAGGUUAAUAUUCCUGUACUUGGUGUUACUGCGAAGGGGGGACGGAGAAGGCUAUGUUGGCCGGGCGAC